CCUACGGGAGGCAGCAGUAAGGAAUAUUGGUCAAUGGGCGGAAGCCUGAACCAGCCAUGCCGCGUGCAGGAAGACGGCCCUACGGGUUGUAAACUGCUUUUGUACCGGAAUAAACCUUGAUAUGUAUAUCAAGCUGAAUGUACGGUAAGAAUAAGGAUCGGCUAGCUCCGUGCCAGCAGCCGCGGUAAUACGGAGGAUCCAAGCGUUAUCCGGAUUUAUUGGGUUUAAAGGGUGCGUAGGUGGCUUAUUAAGUCAGGGGUGAAAGACGGUAGCUUAACUAUCGCAGUGCCUUUGAUACUGAUGAGCUUGAAUCCACUAGAGGUAGGCGGAAUGUGACAAGUAGCGGUGAAAUGCAUAGAUAUGUCACAGAACACCAAUUGCGAAGGCAGCUUACUAUGGUGGUAUUGACACUGAGGCACGAAAGCGUGGGGAUCAAACAGGAUUAGAUACCCUGGUAGUCCACGCCCUAAACGAUGAAUACUCGAUGUUGGCGAUAUACGGUCAGCGUCUAAGCGAAAGCGUUAAGUAUUCCACCUGGGGAGUACGCCGCAAGGGUGAAACUCAAAUGAAAUUGACGGCUGAGAGAGCGACGACGACGACGAGGGAGGAGG
This 611-nucleotide ribosomal RNA is filed under the name uncultured bacterium. RNAcentral's name for it is "bacterial SSU rRNA". It matches the Rfam family "Bacterial small subunit ribosomal RNA", at positions 338 to 951 of the family's 1533-position model. The record is from RNAcentral.